CCUACGGGUGGCAGCAGUCGAGAAUCAUUCACAAUGGGGGAAACCCUGAUGGUGCGACGCCGCGUGGGGGAAUGAAGGUCUUCGGAUUGUAAACCCUUGUCAUGUGGGAGCAAAUUAAAAAGAUAGUACCACAAGAGGAAGAGACUGCUAACUCUGUGCCAGCAGCCGCGGUAAUACAGAGGUCUCAAGCGUUGUCCGGAAUUACUGGGCGUAAAGGGUGCGUAGGCUGUUUCGUAAGUCGUGUGUGAAAGGCGCGGGCUCAACCCGCGAACGGCACAUGAUACUGCGAGACUAGAGUAAUGGAGGGGAAACCGGAAUUCUAGGUGUAGCAGUGAAAUGCGUAGAUAUCGGGAGGAACACUCGUGGCGAAGGCGGGUUCCUGGACAUUAACUGACGCUGAGGCGCGAAGGCCAGGGGAGCGAAAGGGAUUAGAUACCCUAGUAGUC
This 446-nucleotide ribosomal RNA is filed under the name uncultured bacterium. Its description in RNAcentral is "partial 16S ribosomal RNA". It matches the Rfam family "Bacterial small subunit ribosomal RNA", at positions 338 to 795 of the family's 1533-position model. The record is from RNAcentral.